Molecule: long non-coding RNA, 864 nt
Filed under: Mus musculus (house mouse)
Lineage: Eukaryota; Metazoa; Chordata; Mammalia; Rodentia; Muridae
Description: long non-coding RNA chr14:62371642-62372506
Source: RNAcentral
ACAUUAACUCCCAUUUAGAUUUUAUCAAUGCAUAAUCCUUAUAUCAUUUUUGUUGUUGUUGUGUUGUUUUGUUUGCUUUGUUUUGUUCAAUUUUAUUCCUUGGGCUUUGAUAACAGAAGAAAUUCCAAUGUAAGUUUUGCCUAAAUAGCUCUUUCUCCCAGCAUUCUGUGAAUUCACAGACUGAUUCACAAAGUCAUUGUGAAUUAUUCAUCAUUGGAUGGCUGACACAGGUGGGAUGCCACCAUUGCUGCCGUGUCUGUUCAUCACUGGAUGACUGACACAGGUGGGAUGCCGCCAUUGCUGCCGUGUCUGUUCAUCACUGGAUGGCUGACACAGGUGGGAUGCCACCAUUGCUGCCGUGUCUGUUCAUCACUGGAUGGCUGACACAGGUGGUAUGCCACCAUUGCUGCCGUGUCUGUUCAUCACUGGAUGGCUGACACAGGUGGGAUGCCACCAUUGCUGCCGUGUCUGUAUGGUUGUUGCAUUUAAUGCACCCUCAAAAUGAUUCCCAGAGGGAACCAUCCUUGGAGCAUGCAGCUCCUCGGAGUUGGGUAUGCUUUCCUCUGCACCCCACUAUCACAUCUGGAUCCUGAGUGGGCAGCAGGGUUGUUUGAGCUCUGCCACUCACGUGCUCAUUGAACCAAGAUUCAGGCUUGUGUGAUUUGCAUGUACGAUAGUUUACAAAUAUUGUAAGUCUCUCUUUAUUUUUAUUAACAGAAAAAUAGCAAAAUGACUGCAGCUCAGAAGGCUUUGGCUAAAGUUGACAAAAGUGGAAUGAAAAGUAUCGAUGCCUUUUUUGGUGCAAAAAAUAAAAAAACUGGAAAGAUUUGAAGCAUCGAAAAUAAAAUCCAGUGAAGCAGAAAC